RNAcentral lists this ribosomal RNA (516 nucleotides) under Nematobrachion sexspinosum. RNAcentral's name for it is "partial 16S ribosomal RNA". It matches the Rfam family "Archaeal large subunit ribosomal RNA", at positions 1908 to 2666 of the family's 2987-position model. Lineage: Eukaryota; Metazoa; Arthropoda; Malacostraca; Euphausiacea; Euphausiidae. The record is from RNAcentral.
GUUUUCAUGUAGUUUAUUUAUGAAAUUUAACCUGCCCACUGAAUUUAUUUAAAGGGCCGCGGUAUAUUGACCGUGCAAAGGUAGCAUAAUCAUUAGUCUUUUAAUUGGAGGCUUGUAUGAAUGGUUGAACAAAAAACAAACUGUCUAUAACAUAAUUUGUUGAAUUUAACUUUUAAGUAAAAAGGCUUAAAUAAAUUAAAGUGACGAUAAGACCCUAUAAAACUUAAUAAUUGAAAUUGUAAAAGUAUAUUAGUUGUUUAAAAUUUUUUUAAUAUAUUUUAUUUUAUUGGGGCGAUAGAAAUAUAAAAGGUAGCUGUUUUGUUAUUUAAAUAAUUAUUAUUAGAGAUUAGUUUGUUCCUUUAAUAGAGAUUAUAAGAUUAAGUUACUUUAGGGAUAACAGCGUAAUUUUCUUUAAGAGUUCUUAUCUACAAGAAAGAUUGCGACCUCGAUGUUGAAUUAAAAAUUCUUUAAGGUGUAGCAGCUUUAAUAGGAGGUCUGUUCGACCUUUAAAUUUUU